RNAcentral lists this ribosomal RNA (301 nucleotides) under uncultured bacterium. RNAcentral describes it as "partial 16S ribosomal RNA". It matches the Rfam family "Bacterial small subunit ribosomal RNA", at positions 509 to 808 of the family's 1533-position model. The record is from RNAcentral.
CAGCCGCCGCGGUAAUACGUAGGUCCCGAGCGUUGUCCGGAUUUAUUGGGCGUAAAGCGAGCGCAGGCGGUUAGAUAAGUCUGAAGUUAAAGGCUGUGGCUUAACCAUAGUACGCUUUGGAAACUGUUUAACUUGAGUGCAAGAGGGGAGAGUGGAAUUCCAUGUGUAGCGGUGAAAUGCGUAGAUAUAUGGAGGAACACCGGUGGCGAAAGCGGCUCUCUGGCUUGUAACCGACGCUGAGGCUCGAAAGCGCGGGGAGCAAACAGGAUUAGAUACCCCGGUAGUCCCUGUCUCUUAUACC